This is a non-coding RNA of Xyrichtys novacula (pearly razorfish), 23873 nucleotides long. NCBI's taxonomy places the organism in Eukaryota, Metazoa, Chordata, Actinopteri, Labriformes, Labridae. The record is from the annotation of a GenBank genome assembly.
CCAGGACCCGAGGGAGGACAGUUUAGCGAUGGCGCUACAACACGCUACAGCAGGUCCGUUUGACAAGAAACACUUCUGUUACAGACACUUGUCUUACUUUGUUAAAGCGGUUUACCUGUCCAGCAGAAAGGUUACAGGGUCACCAAGAUCCCCAAGCGUCCCCCAUCGUUUAUGUUGACCCGGCUUUUUGGCUCUUGUCCGGUCUACCUCCGUUUUAAGCGCCCGUUAUUCCUCCAGAGUCUCAGGUAUUUACUUUGUUUUCUUGCUUGUGUCAGCAGUCGUGGCCAAAGGAGGAUUCAGACAAUUUUCCGAACUUUCUGGUUGGUUUCUACUGUCCGAUAUUGUAGCACGCUAACUUUGUUUGGGCUCCUGAACGACACGGGGGAGCAGCGUCUGCCUCACAACCAAUCAGGUUAGAGGAGGUGGAGAACGGCUUUGUUUACAGUCAGAAAGAGCGGACCGCUCAGAAUUUCAAAUGUUGACAACACAGACAUAAGAGAACACAGAGAUAUCGAUAUAUUACCAAAUGUCAUCAAUAACUAAUAACUAUUGACUGAUAUUAAAAGGUUUUUUGUAAAUACACCACAAAAAAGAUGCUUCUUUAACGGAUUCCUGCCUACUCCACCUUUAACACAGAUAUAAAUUUAGUUAAUAUUAUUUAUUGACAAAUAACAAAUUACACAUUAGCACACAGCAAAAAGAAGUCAGACUUCCAUGUGAACAUUUAGUGCAAAAGGACAGACAGACAUAAAAUAUGGAGCGAACAGAAUCGCUGUGUUUGAUACUAAUAAAAAAAAAAAAAAGUGGAUCGGCGUCAUUCAUCAGAUAUCUGAUCCAGUUAAUUUGUCAAUAUCAGAGCCGAUAUCAGAUCCAAAUAUCUGAACGGUCCAUCCCGAAAAGGGACUAUUUUAAAACCACAACCUCUGCAUGCAUGUCAGUCUGUCUUUGUGCUUCAGUCGAUCGAUGUAUGAAACAAGAGAAAGUGCAGCCGCCUCAUGUUGUGAUAAAGUCUGUUUUUCUCGACAUGUCGUGUUGUGUUGUUUUCCCUUUAGCAGGAAGUGGUUUCGUCCUGAUUCAGGUCUUGUACACGGCCCCCUAUAGGUGUAAUGACAGCUGUCUGCUUAAAAACACACACUUUAGGUCCAAAUGGAGGUCUUUGUGUUCUCAGUGACUCCUCAUUUCCAUCUCAUUAACCUCAUCGAGGGUUUCGUCUCCAGCUUUGAUAAAUAUGACAAUAAGCAGACGCCGCGUGUGACGAGGGGAAGCGAUAAAAAUCUUGCUUUACAUUUGUAUCGCGUGAGUGAUCCCUUUGUGGAUUCCUGAGAGCUCGCUGGAGCUGCAGGUCUUUAACAUCUACUGCAAAUGUGAAUUGAGUACCUUCCCCCUCUGUGAAUCACAUUCAUCUGAAUAAAUAGAUAAAUACAGGAUCUGCUCAUAAAGAGGAAAUCUUAUUUUCCUGUCGGUGAGUGAAGCUGCUGAUCUCAGUGACAAGUUUUCAAAGACUAUGAAAAGAUAACGCACUGCACUUUUACCUAAAAUAAAAAAAUGCAACGUUCUUUCAACAUGUUUGGUUUUAUUCAAGCGGGAGCGGGACAGGAGAGGGAGUAAUUUUGAGUGGGAGCGGGAUGGGAGUGGGAGUCAUUCUACGGGAGUGGGACGGGACAGGAGUGAAAAUCCGCUCCCGUGUCGUGCUCUAGUCUGUACGUCUGAGUUUGUUGGAAGAGCUUCAUAGAGAGAAACCGCCGCCUCUCAAAUCUUAUUGAUUUUCAGUGAAACAGGAGCCGACAUCAUCUUAAAUGUGGCUCAUUUAACCUCUAACGGUGACCUUUGACCCUCCUUGUGACUGUUGGUUUAACAGAUCGAUACACAGAAGAGACGAUGCAAAUAAAGCAGGAUGGAUGUUUAGAUGAAUAUUCAAUAUCUGUGACCCGGCACAUUGCGACAGACUCGUCUGUGUUUCGUAUUUGUUUGCCGAGAAGUUUCUUUUUUUUUAAACUUUUUAUUUAUUUACAGAACAUGAGGUCAUCAUGGGUGAUACAGCUGAAUAUUCGAAUAUUAUAUAAUAUUAAUAAUGUGAAUAUUCUUUUACACAUAGAUACAUAUAUACAAGCACACAUUAAUCAUAGCAAAUGUCUCACUAUUCAAGGUGCAUACUAUUUUCGUUUCAGCAUUUCAAACAUUUCUCCAACUAAAGUCUCAAAAGAAAAGUAAGUCUCUCCAUACAAUGAAUUUCUUGGAGAAUCCCGUGCCGCUGGUUCAGUGCUGGGGAAUCUGGUUGUAACCACCUUCUUGUUAUGGCUUUCCUACCACUUGCCAAAGGAAUCUUCAACAGGUACCUGUCCUUAUGUAGGUCUGUUUCUGGGAUUUUACCGAGAUAUAAAACAACGAAAGAAAAGUCUAAAUCCACCCCCAAUAUUUAUUUAUCUCGGUUGACACCUCCCUCCAAAAUGACUGGAUUUUCGGACAGGCCCAAAAAAUAUGAAAGUGAUUAGCCAUAGGGGUUCCACGUUGUCUCCAGCAGUAGCCUCGGUUCUGUGUGCCUGUUUGCAGUGCUGUUAAUUUAGGGGUUAUGAAAAAUCUCACCACAUUCUUCCAGCCAAACUCUCUUAAAGAUCUUGAAUUUGCAGUUGUCGCUUGUGUCUCACACAUUUCUAUCCAGGUCUCUUCUGAUGUUUGUAUUCCUGACUCCUUUUCCCAUUUUUGUUUAAUGGAUAACGUAGAAUGAUUUUUAGAGGCUUGCAUACCCUUGUAUAAUCUUGAGACCAACUUUUUAUUAUCUUUCUUUUUAUAUGCAUUUGCCGAGAAGUUUCAGGUAUAGAAAUAAGUAGUUUCUCAUUUUUAUCAACGCGAGUUUUGUGCAGAAGAAGAAGAGAUUCCAUUUGGCAGGAUUCACAAACUUCCACCUCGACUCUGACACAUGAGCGUUAGCCGAAGCGUGCAGCUGGAAUACGACUUGCCAGCUGCUGUCAACAAGGUAAAAAAUUGAAAUGGGCCUUGUCUUAUCUCGCUGCAGCAGCAUGAACACGAGGCUACAUCUCACCCAUCUCAUACGUUUCUGUGAUCGUUGCAAUAUCUGCGAGUUUCUGCCCCACCAAUCCUGACCGCCCUGCAGCGACUCCACGUUAACUUGCUGACUGAAUCAACUUGAAACAAAUGCAGAAAAACAAGCCUCGCCUGGAGGGCAGGAGGAGAGUGUUUAUCCUGCAGGCAUUCCUCCUCUCAGAUAACAGGAGCAGAGUUUGGAGGAUGCCGGAGUAUUUUACUGCAGGAUUCCUUCUUAAUGUACAGAGCUGUGUGUGCCGCACCGCUUAAUCCUGGAAAGAUGGCUUCAUUAAUCCUGUUUAUCCCUCUGUGUGUCGCUGCAGCUGAAUGCAGGAGCUCCAAGUAACUGAUGGGAGUUGUACCGCUGAGUGACAGGAUUACAACCCCACCUGUCCACGCCGUGGAUUCACUAGAGGGGUGUGUCCAAAGAAAAAAGGAAGCAACAGUACUCUCUGUGCACGAUUAUUAGAGUAGAUGCUUUUUUCCUCUUGAAACAUGAAGUAGGUCUGGGAGUCGAGUCUUUGAUCAUCUUGGAUCUUUCCAGCCCAUCCUUGUAUCCCACCUCCACCUUACUAGAGUCUGAGUCAGAGUGGAGUUCUACGCUCAUUGCUGAUCCAAUCAUAGGCCUGUCUGUCUGUCCAUCAAGACUCACUCUCGUCUCUUCAGUCCAUAAAACCUUUGAAAAAUCCGUCUUCAGAUAUUUCUCAGCCCAGUCGUGUUUUUUCAGCUUCUCUGUCUUGUUCAUUGGUGGUCGGGUUUCAGCCUUUCUUACCCUGAAAAUGUCUCUGAACACCGUGGACUUCUGGACUCUCCAGGUAGGUUGCAGCUCUGGGGGAUAAUGGGUUCCUGGUAGAUCCACUUCAGUUCUUCUCAGAUCUUUGGCUGUUUAUUUGUGUCUUUUUCUCUCAACAAUUUCUUGCAAUCUUUUUGGAUAGUUAAAACAGACCAAUUGAUAGUUUUGUGGUCUUGUCCAAAAAUCUUGGCAAAUUCAUGAUCUUAUCUUAAUGAUAUGAUCAAAAUGUUCACUUGCUUAUUUAGGGCCCUUUGAUUUCCACAUUAACGGAAUCGCGGAAUAGGCCAAUAACAAUGGAAUCUACUGUUAAUGUUGAAUCACGUGGAAAUUGGCAUAAUGUGACUGAAAUACUGUUAUUGCAAGGAGAAGGAACGUUUGUCCAGGGAAAUGUUCUCAGGGACCACUCAUUAAUGGCAAUACCCAUACAUCUUCACAAGCACUCCCUCCUGAUAUAACAGCAUGUCGAAGUGGCGACCAGAGACGGCUGGGCUACAUCUAUAAAAAAAACGUCAAAACUCUUCUCUGUCUCCAAAGUACUAGAUCCAAGCAAUCUCCAAAUGACUUUUACAGCUGUAAAUGUAGGAAUAUUUGCAUUUUAUUAAUCAACAUUUUAUUUACUGACACUAAAAGCAUACACCCUAAGGUAGUAAAGAAGUGUAAAAGGUAAAAAAUGGAAGAGAAUUUGGAAAAAUUAAAACAGAUUUCAUAUUGCCCUAACUAAUUAGUUGUGCCCACAGUGUAUGUCCCUGUGUGCUUCAUCUCAACACUUGCAUUAACGCACGUCUUCUAUAAAUGUCAAACAUUAUAAGUUGUAAUCCAUCUGUACAAACAAUAAUCUAUUUGCUGUUUUAAGUUCUUAAAACGCUCCAAACAUGGUUUAUAUCGUGUCGUUAGACUUUAAGAAAAAUCUCUUCUGUUGAAAGAUCUCUAAAGUGUCCGUCGAAUAAACCAAAAGUUGUUUGUACCGUCGGCUUUUUUAAGAGUAUUUAGCAACAAGAAUCUGGAGGCCGAGUAUCUCUGAGAACAAGAGAAAACCUCAUGAAUGGGAAGUGAAAUGUUUUCUUUGAGCGCAGGUCAUAAAUGAUAACAGUGUGAAUGAUGAGAUUAAGUUGUUAGCGGUUCGAAGAUUGCUCAUGAGCUUGAAUGGCCUGCCAGGAUUUCAGCCCACGCUGUAAAAGGUGAAGGUGUUUGAGGAGUGAAGUGUUUUUUCUUGGAUCGGAUAACAAAAUGUUUGAGUUUAAAAGAUGUUCUAAUUGAAUUUUUCGCCCUCUCCGAUAUCCUGACGGUUGACUCACCUUAAAAAUCAAAUACAUCAGUCAAUAAUCUUGUUAAGUGCAUCACAUUAGUUAUGCCGAGAUUAAAAGAGAAAGAUUGAAGCCAGUGUGGGAAGCUUACAAAACGAAUUUCAAAAAUGGUGGUAAACCUUGAUAAUUUCUUCUAAAGUACCCUCUGUGACUCAGUGGCAUUUUUCCAGAAGGCUUUUCAAAGCUUAAAUUUCUCUUGAAUCUCUGAGUCUCUUUGUGGUUUGUUGCUGUGAAAGCUGGCAGUGUUGCCGGCGGCUGUGUGUCAUGCCAAGCAGAGGAAUCCUGCCGGUUUCGAAAUCCUCAAAAUCUCAGGUCUAAAGGUUAGAAAUGUGGGUUUGUAACCAGGAGAUCCUGAUUUCACAAGCACCGCAGCAGGCUGAGGGGUUGACUCAGUGAAAUGCAAAACUAAAUUCUGACAGGUAUACGCUUCGUUAAGAUUUUUUUAGUCGGCGUGGAUAUUUUGGAAACACCAGCUGCGUUCUCAGUCAAGUCCAAGAAUCGCUGCCAGCAGCUCUGAGGAGAAACGGCUCAAAGGUGGCCAUGAAAGAAAGUCAAUAAAAAGUUUAAAGCGAAUCUAUUUGAGGAGCAGAAGAAGAAGAAGAACAGACAACUUUUAUAUCUGUGACAUCCUGAACUGUAGACUCAGCAGUCAGAUUAUUGAUUUGUCUUCUUCUGAACAUUGAUCGUUUUUGGCAAAUUUAUGCAAAAUUAAAAGUAUCCUGUUUUUACUUGCUGUCGGAGAGUUUAACCACACAAGAAAUAUUCAAAUCUGUGGCUGCCGGUUAUCUAGGGUGACCAUACGUCCUCUUUAACCUGGACAUGCCCUCUUUAUUGGGGUCUGUCUGGGUUUGUCCGUAUUUGUCCGGGGACAUUAAUACAAAACCCAAUUCCAUUAAAGAUGGGAAAUUGCGAUAAACGUAAAUAAACACAGAAUACAAUGAUUUGCAAAUCCUUUUCAACCCAUAUUCAAUUGAACACACUACAAAGACAAGAUAUUUAAUGUUCAAACUCAUAACCUUUUUUUUUUUUUUUGCAAAUUAUAAUUAACUCAGAAUUUCAUGGCUGCAACACGUGCCAAAGUAGUUAGGACAGGAGCAUGUUUAUCACUGUGUUACAUCACCUUUCCUUUUAACAAAACUUUAUAAACGUUUGGGAACUGAGGAGAACUAGUUGUUGAAGCUUUGAAGGUGGAAUUCUUUCCUAUUCUUGCUUGAUGUACAGCUUCAGUUGUUCAACAGUCCGGGGUCUCCGUUGUCGUAUUUUAUGCUUCAUAAUGCGCCACGCAUUUUCAUUUUGUAUGUACCUUUCGGCAUUAAUGUUGCCUUCACAGAUGUGUAAGUUACCCAUGCCUUGGGCACUAAUGCACCCCCAUACCAUCACAGAUGCUGGCUUUUGAACUUUGCAUCGAUAACAGUCCGGAUGGUUCUUUUCCUCUUCGCCCGGAGGACACUACGUCCACUAUUUCCAAAAACAAUCCACUUUCCACCUUGCAUCAGUCCAUCUUAGAUGAGCUCGGGCCCAGAGAAGCCGGCAGCGUUUCUGGAUGUUGUUGAUAAAUGGCUUUGGCUUUGCAUUGUAGAGUUUUAACUUGCACUUACAGAUGUAGCGACAAACUGUAUUUACUGACAGUGGUUUUCUGAAGUGUUCCUGAGCCCAUGUGGUGAUAUCCUAUAUUUUUUUGCCACCUUUCCCAGCUUCAAAUGUCUGCGGUUUUGUACAAAAGUUUCGAGUUUGUGUCACGUGGACUUACUGAGUUAGAAGUGCGUGAAAGACACUCGAUCCGACCCAAAAAACUCUCAUAAUGAAGUCCAUGUAACUCCAUGACUCCACCCUGUUGUAGUCGUGUCCUCUUUUUAGGAAGUACGAAUAUGGUCACCUUAAGUUUACCUUGAUUCAAAAGUGUUUAAAUCGGCACGUUAAACGGCUAAAACAGCUUCAUUUUUGUGCACCAGGGCAGUUUUUUAGAAAAAUGUUCUGUGACAGUGAGUGGAGAUCAACAGGCGGCUAAGUCUUCGAAGACGGAUUAACAGAAGUCAUCAGAGCGUCUGUUAACUUUUAAUCAAGCCAUCAUUUGUGAUCAAUACUCCAUCUGCGAGAUCCCAACAUGAGCUGUGAAAGUGUUGCGUCUCACUUUCGCUCAAUCCAUCUCUGGUUAUUGAUACGAGCCCGAAGAGAAAGAAAGUGAGAGGAAACUCCCCGGGUGAUGGAACCGUGGCGAGGGCGAGCUGUUGGAGGGCGGCGAGAAAACGAGGAAGGCAGAAACAUUAAGACAAAGAGCUUCUCUGAGUCGUCAAUAACCCCGAUGGACGCUGCGGCGGCACUGUCCGAACACUUCUCCACUCCUGAAAUAUUAUCUGCACUACUCCAACAUCUACUUGAAGACACGCUCCCCCUCCCCCUCUGCAAAGUCAAUUAUUAUUGAUUCUGCAUUUGAGCAAGCAUGUGUGUCUCCUCAGGUGGAACCGAAUUACUCUGAAACACCCCGGGAGGCCUGUGCUCCUCGCAGAAGGCUGAGAACUAUUAGCUGACUGCACUGGGAAAAUAAAACUAAAUUAAGGCAAAUAAACAAUAAUAAAAAGGCUGCUGUUGCAAGGCGAGGAGGAUCAGUCAAGAGUGGCCGACAAGGCCCGCAGUAAUGUUAAACACUGGAUCAAUGUUUAUGCUGGAAGAGACCGCUCCACGUUGACCUGGCGCACGCACCUCCAGAAGAAGAAGUGAUGAAGUGAGCAGCUCACAGUCUGUCCGAUAAUUAAAAUAUGUUGACCUCAUUUCACUUCUUGAAACUUUAUUUCGAUCUAUUCAGCAAAGAUGACUCCAAACAGUGAUUUUUGUGUACCGAUAAACCUCUGGUCAUCUGGAAUCAUAUCUAUCCUAGGACCACCCAGAGAGGAAAUCGGCACUGAUCAAUAUCCAAUUCGGAUCAAAUCAAGUCACGCCUACUAAUGCUGAGUUCAAGUUACCUCAGAAGUCAGAUGUUGGAGCUGGGAAUGACGUCACACAAGUUCCCAGCUUUUCAAUUACCAAGUCAGAAAAAAGCAAAAUUGGAGGCGGAAACAAGAUGUUGCAGAAGGACUGUGUAUUUGUCCAAAAAUUGCUUAUAUUCUGACAAGGCAAGUGCUAAAAUCACUUUCAUAGAUGUAGCCAUCUUGUUUCUACCUCUGAUUUUUCUUUUUUUCCAUUUGGUAACUCAUUCCCAGCUCCAACAUCUGCUGUCCGAGGUACCUUGAACGCAGCAUAAGUCUGCCCGAUAUCUGAGCGUCAUGAUUGAUGACCAGUGAACCUUCAAGGCCCAUGUGGCCGCGGUUUGCUGGUCCUGCCGUUUUGCUCUUUAUACCAUCAAGAAGAUCAGACCCUUCCUGACUGAGCAUGCAACACAGAUCCAGAAUCUGUGUUGGCUCUGGUAAUCUCAGGUACUUACUACUGCAACUCCUCACCGCCAGGUUAGGCUGGGCAAUUCCUGAUUCCUGUUCCUAACAAUUGUCUCUUCUGAUUGUUUUGGUUGAUGAUGGUUUGAUUGUUGAUAGUGUAAAUGAGGGCUCUAACCAGAGUUCUUUUUUCAUUUGUUUACCGCUUCAGUGUUAGCAGAAGACAGACAUCAUUUGUUGUUUUACUAUCUGAUUCUGACCAGUUAGAGGACGACCGGUGAAGCAUGUCAAAGACGGGGCACUCAGUUAUUUCUACUCCAUGAAUCAGGAGGUGUUUAUCUAAUCAUGUUGGUCGUGUAUCUUCCUUUGGCAGAAAUAGUUUUUUCGCAGUUGGUGCUCUGUGCUACUCUGUCCUCCUCUUUUGAAUUCAAAUGAAGCAAGAUUUUAGAGCGUUUUUUGUGGUACAUGUUCAGACGAGCGAUGUUCUUGCUAGUGGAAAAGCAGAGAACAAACUAGUGCAAGCACUCGGAACCAAAACAAAGAAUCGAAAUUCAAAAAUCUCCUCAAUGGUUCCGUAACAGGACAUUAGGAACUGAUUCUAGGUACCCAACCCUACUGGCAGACCUCAAGUCACUCACCAAACUCUCUUCUUCUGUUGCCCCUAAAUGGUGGAAUGAAUUACCCAACUGUAGCUGUACAGCAAUUAUUUAUUACAGUGUCUAUUGUUCUGCAUUAUAUCUACUUACCCAGAUCAGGGGAGGUCAACGGUUUUGGUAAAUCUCACCAGACAAGAAAUUCCAUCAUAACCAAUAAAAUCCUCCUGAUACGAUUUAUCACAAAAUCUUAACAGGCGAAUUUCUGAUUUGAGGACCGAUCAGACCAGACUAAACCAGAGCGCUCUCUCUCUCUCUCUCUCUCUCUCUGUCUCUCUCUGUCUGUUGGUUUUCAGAGUCUCUUUCUUUGUGGGUGUCGUCAUUAGCAGAUCUGCUGCUGCAGGUCGGAGCGGAGUCGGGGGGUCAUCUGCCAAAUCUGUUCCGUGAUUAUCGCUGUAAUUUGAGCGGAGUAAAAAGAGGAUAAUCUGGGUCAGAUCUCCCCCUCACUUCUUGGAAAUUGUCUGUCAUCACAUAUGCAUUCAAGACGGCCCACGCAUAUCAAACGGGACAUCUUGAGGCACGAUUGGUCCACUCCAUUCAAGAGGCUGAUUAUCAGACAGAAAUCUUCACGGCAGCAGAAUCAAACCCUACACUAGAGAUACAUCAGACACACUUUCUCAUUUAUUGUUAAUGCAAUCAAAGGGCCCUCUCUCUCCGAGCAGACACUCGAAUCAACAUGUGAAGUUAAGAGGAAGGGAAUCAGAUGUGUCGUGGUUUAAGAGAACGUGUGCUGAGAAGGCAGAAAGAGGAGCGGGCGCUGAAAGCUCCCACUGAUUGGUUAUUUCAGCGAAACUCUGCAGCUCGGCGACGAGAUAAUGAGCUCUCUUUGAUCAGAGGAGAAUUGUUGUAUAUGAUGAUCGUCUUUCUGCGUGUGUGUGUGUGUAAAGACGUGUGCGUGUGUGUGUGUGCCAGCAACAGGGCCUGAUGAAUAUUCAAAGAAGAUUGUCUGCCAUAAUAUCCCUGAGGAGCAGCUGGCUUGUUGUGAAACACACGGGAGGCCCGCCACGCAACUUGUCACGAUCUCCUGAUUGUGGAUCGGGAAGAGGCCUUAAAAAGGUUACUCUAGGUCACACACAGAGAGCGAGGGCGAGCGAACAGGUCGGGGGAGAGAGAGAGAGAGAGACAUGGACUGUCAUUGUGGAGAAUCUCACGGAUGUUAUAAAGAUAACAGUUUAUCAUCAGUUUGAUUUGCUCUGGAUGACUGAAAGAAAAUGAUAAUUGCAUGCUAAUUACUUUCUAAAGAGUAUCAAUUAAUCAUUUAAACAGAAACAACAACAGCAAAAACAUUCAUCUCUCUCCAGUUGAGAAAUUAGCAGGAGUAAUUGCUUUCUAUUUGGUUUUGCUAAUUAAAGAAUAAAAUAUCAGUAAAAUUGGGUUUUGCUUGUUUCUGUACUGCUUUACUGAACCGGCGUACGACCCGUUUUUUCCCGCCACACGACACCCUCUGGGGGUUAACCGCCACAUUAGAUUUAUCUCCAGGAUGCAGCAUCCUCUGUUUUUUUUUUAAUUAAUCCUUGUUUCAUAAAAAAUAAUAAUAAUGCUGGGUGGAGAUAAGGGACUGGGGUCUGAGAAUGCAUCACACGGCCCAAAGCCUAUUUGUCGUGUCACGAGCGACUGUCCUCGUUCAAGCUGGCAGAGAAACACAGGGCGCUCGCUGUAAACCCUCCAAAUGUGCACGCUGGACCACCUUUUAUCUGUUCAAUCCACUCACAGCCAACCCCGCGCUGGUAAAUAUUCCAUAUUUCUCUCCCUGGCAUCAUGUGGGAUUUAUUUUUCUGUUUUUGCACUCUCCGAAGUCAGCACAUUAAAAAGUGCAGCAGCACUCCUGAGUGAUGUUCGUGUGUGUCCUCCCAAAAGUCUUUCCAAAGCAGCAGCUCCACUCGACCAAGACCAUCCAUCUCCACUCAUAAUGUGCAUUUAAUAAGAAUUAAAUUGGCGGGUGGAUGGAUGUGGUUUGAGCCGUGUGAUAGUGACAGUUUGACUUUUCAUGGCUUUGAUAUCUGGACGACAGGCGCCUGUAAGGCCUAAUGGGGCCGUUCCACCAGCAUCUGUUAAGAAUGCUUCAUUGAGUUUACAAUUAGUGAGGGCCACGGUUCACUGACGGGCUGUGUGACCACUCAGAGGGUGAUAACUCUGAUAAAGGCUCACGGGUUUACUCGGAGGGGGAGGAAGAGUUCGGCUUUUAUUCUGUUAGCAGCAAAUUAAAGUGUGAAAAACAUAUAAUGAUUCGUCUGCUCUUUAAUGAUGACCGAAGGACGGAGAGGAGACCCACACAGGUCGAUCUGUCGGAGGAACAAACAAACUGGCUUGAUGUGAAGUGUUGAUAUGGAGAUACGCUGGAUUUAGAGUCGUUUCGAUUCCGAUACCAGUAGCGGAAAAUGCUGUAGGGCUGUCAAAAUUAACACAAAGGUUCAAAAGUAUUUACAUAUCUAGUUUACACAGCUUGCACAUAACUUCAUCUCUCAGCAUUUUUCUGUCUGCCGUGUUUGCCCAAAAUCCGAAGAAUUUCCAAACGGAUCUUCUAAAGUUCGUUGGCGUCCAGACCACUCUCUCUGAGUUUGGCUUCAAACAUCACGCCAUCUCUCUCUGCAUGUGACACAGACGGCUCCUGUGAUCUGUCCCUGACCCGUCGUUACAGUGCACUCACCCACUGUUUUUUUCUUUUUUUCUCAGUUUUUCUCUCAUUUUAUUAAAUACUGGAAUAUUAAUUUUCUCAUUUUUCUCUGUUUUUUUCUUUAAAUAUUCGAGUAUAUAUUCAAAUUUAGAAUAUUCGUUGACAACCCUAAAAUGCUGGUAUCAGUAUCGGCGAGUACUAGAGUCCAGGCACCGAUGCGAUACCACAUACAUUAUUAAAUUAGUUAUUUAGCUCCGUUAGCUCUGACACAGUUCUUCUUUGCCGAUCUAAAACUGCAUGGAUCACAUGACCGACACAGUUGACGAGGCUCAGACCCACUUUAAUUUAAAUAAAACAACAACAUAUAUUCAUAGAUUUAUUUACCACUAUUUUAUUCUGUUCUGUUUAAAUCCACUUUUUAUUUAAAAAUAUUGCGGCUGCACUUUAAUGUUUUUUUUUUUAAAUAAUUAUUCCUAAAUUUAUUUAGUUAAAUUAUAUUUGCUGAUUUUUAUACUAUCUAUUUAAAAAUAAAUGGCUUAAAUUUGCAGUGCUUAUUUGUGUUUUACAAAGGAUUUAACCUGAGCUUGAAUUUACCACAAUAAUAAUCAUUUCAGUGUAAAAAAGGCCUGGUUAAUAUAUAUAUUUUUUUAUAUAACAUACUGAUAUUGGACUCUGGUUUCUCUGGAGUUUUGUUGUUCGGGCUGACGGAGUAAACAUGAGGAACAUGAGCAGAGAUUUUCAUCCAUGACAGACUCGUCCAAUUUGGCCCCAUAUGUGUCCGAGAUGAUCGCCUUUAUGAUCCCCAAGCAAAGCAUGCUGGGAAGGGGGGUCAGAUCCCUGUGACCCUGUGUGGACAUGAUGGAUUUGGAGCUGGAUGGAUGGACGGACACUGACAUUGAGUUUACUCACUGUGAAGUCCAAGAGUGGAGGUGGGAGACUGUUGUGUUUUAAUUGAAAUGACAGCUUGUCCAUCUUUGAGUCGUUUUUUUAAACGCACUAAAAUCUGUGUUUUAUAAACCGUAGAGUUAAGAGGAAGUGAGCGAGGAGCUUCUGCGGUUGUUCAUUUAUCUGAUCUUCUUGUAUUAAUUAUUUCAAAGUGUCUUUUUAUCUCAUCUCUGCGAACGGCGCUCACACAGAUUAGUGCUUUUGACGGGCCUGACAAUAGGAGCGAGCCUUGAGAGUUAAAGAAACUCAGAGUGACGAAGGAUGUUUAAAAAUGUACAAGAGGAUAAGAGGGAGAGAGCACGGCUGAUCAGCACUUCCUCUUUGUCUGAGUUAAUGACAGGCAGAAAAAGGAGCAAAAAUAAACACCUAACAAUAGGAUAUUAAAACUUUGAUCAAUAAUUAAUGUGCUUUGAAAGUCUCUGUUUCUCUUAUUCUUUUCAAAACAGAGCUGCUUCUCUCCAGAAAACACUAAACGAAAAGACGAAAUGGAUUUUUAGAAGUGAAGCAAACACAAAAUGAAAACACGAACGAGACAAAGCAGCACAAAUCAAACCUUUUCAAACAUUCAGAAAAACAAACCAAACACAGUCAGAAGAUCCGCAGCUUUUCCACUGAUCACCAAACACAGAUCAGAGACAGAAACAAGUGGUCCAAAUUAUGAUCUAAUCCCAAAGCCUGGUCCAGACCAAGUCCAAAACACUUCUGAUCAGCAGGGAUGUGGUGACUCGGGGGUCCCACUGUCCCACAUAAAGAUAACGGCCGUCCAGUCAGAACUCGAAAGAGAUUAAGCUUCUUGUAGAGCUGCACGAUUUUGACCAGAAUUAUAAUCCAGAUUUUUUUCUCUGAAAACUUGUUUUUCGAUUUUGAUUUUUUUAUUCAGUGACAACUUCACCAAACUUCACUUUAAUAAUGAAAAGUUUUCUAUCAUCUCUUUAAAUAAAACCACUGAAAACGAUGUAGUGCAUAUGCCAUGACAGUAAGUGGCGCUGUAACGGUGUAAGACAGAAGAAGAGUACAGAGCAUGAGUAUAAAGGUUGUUUUUGGCGCCAUAAAAGAGUUACUCUGUGUGUCACAUGAUCGUUUCCAGAGAUGCAGAUAGACAUCCACACGGAGAUGAAAUGGUCGUCGUUUACAGAUUUAUUCACUCUCUGACCCGUUUUCAAAAAGUACCGUUUACAGUCACCUGAAACGCCGAUAAGACAAAAAACUUUUGCGUUUACUCCUAAAUUCGUUUCCAUGGUGACGGGUUUAUCCCGCCUUCAGACAGACUUUGCAGCGGGGAGUGGUUUACUCUUCAUCUGAAACUGUGAAGUCGUACCAAUUCAACACAACUGACUCGCUCUUGUCCUAUUUAACCACAAAAUUAUCGCCUUCUUUUGCAAACGCCAUGUUUGUUUACACUGGUGUGUGUGGGAACUUGGACUCGAUAGAAAGGAAAAUCGUUUGACGAAAUUUUUUUUAACAUCGUCAUAAUCAAAUAAUUCAAUAACGGUUUAAAAUUGGUUUAUAGUGCAGCCCUAACUCCUUGAUGCAGAUGCAGAAAAAAUGCAUAAAAAUAAACUGUAUGUUAUCCAGUGAGGGACCAGGUUAGCAAACACAAACUCAGGGAGGGUAGCUAGGUACCUUUGCAGUGACGAGACAGUUUGUGGUCUGAAAUAAUGAGUGUAACAGAGCGAUCAUGUAUCAGGCAGUGUGUGAAAGUCUAUCCUGUAUCAUAAUGACCCACAGCAGCUCUGAUAGAGCUCGAUGUGGACCAGCCGAGCCGGCCGUCAAGUUUUGGUUCACUGAGUCCUCCUCCAGUCUGUCCUAGUCCCAGUUUAAGAACUUGGACCAGAGUUCAAGCUGGUUGUUUUUUUAUCUCUGGAGGCCCAAAAAUGAGGGUUAAGGCGAAGGUGACCGUACGUCCUCUUUUACCCGGACAUGUCCUCUUUUUUGGGGGGCUGUCCGGGCUCUAAAUGUCCGUAGUUUUGUAUGAGAGUUUCGACUUCGUGUUACGUGGAUUUACUGAGUUAGAAUCUCAUAAAAGACACUUGAUCCAACCCGAAAAACUGUCAAAAUUACCUUAGUGUGACUCUGUGACUCUGCCCCCACGUAGUCGUGUCCUCUUUUUGGGAAGUCAGAAUGUGGUCACCCUAGUUGAGGUUGUACCACUUUAAAUGAUGUAAACAAACAAACAGCUGAUUGGCGGUGAGGUUUGUCAGCACGUAAACAUGAUCGUUACACCGAGGAGCGGCUAAGACGCGCUCUUCUUUGCUCUUCUUUGCUCUUCUUAUCCGUCUUUGCUCUGUCCCUCACAGCGCCGGCUGAGAAGUGAUAUCUUCAGGUCGGAUUCUGGUUGUUGGUCCUCCUGCAGAUUAAUUUCGCUGAAGUUCAAACAAGCCUCCGUGUUUUCAGACGUCUAAUAUUGAUAUUCGGGACCUCGGCGUGUGUUUUGUUUGCUGCUCCAUCUCUCCGUCAUCCUUAAUUAACCGAGUCCGUGGACAAAUAGUCAGAGAGAAGACCUAAUUUACCCCCCCACUCCUCCUCCCUCUGACCCUGUGGGUGUGGAGAGAUCUGCAGCAUAUUGAAGCCCCGCCCCCUGCUGACAUCAGAACCAGUGAAGUGAAACAAGGCCUGUGCGCGGUGAGAGCAGAGAGCGAGCACUUCAUCUCUCACCUCAAAAUCAUUAUUACCUGAUUAAGUGUGAUUAAGAGAAGAUCAUUAGCAGCUGCAUGUCCUGUCAGUAAUGAUUACUGUGACGGGUGCGUUAGAGCCGAUGAGCUCAUCUGCAGGCUUAGCCAGUCUAAUGAUUAGGGAAGCAUUGUUUAGCCGAGCCUUCAGAUGAAAGGUGGACUCGCUGCUGCUGCCGUCUGAGCGGAAAGUCAGAGCGAGGUGAGCGUCCCACCGCUGCAUCCUAAUGAGCCAAAUUGUUCUACAAGGAGGAUGACAUUGAACACAUUUUAAGUCCAAUUCCCCGACAUUGUAAACUUGUGUUAACUUGUGUUAAAGCUACUUCCUAUAACACCGAUUAUUCAGUUUAUUCAGGAGUUUAAUCAGAGGGUUAUCAAUACCACAUUUAAGUUCAGGAAAAGGGAUGAUUCAGAGGUGUUAACCCUCAGAACUCUCAGCUUUAUUUUGAUAUUUUUGGUCCGCCUUGGUGUUUUUUUAUUAUAAAAAUCUAUGUAGCAGCUCUGUUCUCUCAAGCUGUCAGUUUAUGGAGCAAAAAUGAUGUAAAAUAAAUGUGACAGACCAACAGUAAUUUGCUCAAAAAACACAUAAAUCUACAGUGACCAAACCUUUUCUCACCUGACCAUCAUUCUCUCAAGUCUUCAGGAGAAGAAAUAUUGGGAUUGGAACAAACACACAACAGAGACUAUUGACAUAUUUACACUCAUUCUUCCAGAUGUUUUUGACUAUUUACAGCUGUUUUUGCCACUCCUUGAAGCAUCAAGGGAACAAUAGAAGAAGAAUAUGAGACCAUUUAAUCGGUCGAAACUUUGACAGUAAAAGACGUCAUUAAAACAGCUCGUCAAACCCACAGACAUAAUAUACGUAGACGCCUCAAAGCCUGACGCUGCCUAUUGGAGCUCUCAUAUCAGCACGGCCGCCAUCUUGGAUGGGUCCCCCAUGCGCCUCCAGUGCAUUAAGGUAGGUAGGAAUAUCCAACCAUAUUGAUAAUAACUCUCAGAGUCUCUGCCUGAUUUUCACAUUGUUUGUUUUUUUUUUUUACAACGGCAGGGAUGUAGCAAUAAUACAGGACAAUGUCACUCAUUAAAAAUACAACAAAUUAUUUUCAAACCUAUUUGUGAAUUAUAAUUCUACAUGAUCUGGUUUCAAUACUGCGUUGGAUUUUUCAACCACAGAGUGCCAAAAAAACGGCCGUAGUUCUCCGUUGACCCCGUUUGGCUCUUGAGCGAACCUGGAGUUGGGAGACCAAUCCAAUAUGGCGGCGAUGCUGGAUAACGUUCCAGAAUGUAAUGAGGCGUCUACGUGUAUAAUGUCUACAGUCAAACUCAGAAGAUAUUAUCAGUAUUCAGUGAUAGUGAUCUUUUUUUUAUCAUAACAAUCUGAUAAAUAAUCUUGUUUUCACCGGUAUAUCACUGCAGAUUUACCAUCAGACGUCUCUCAUCAAACACCUGUUUUUGUGGCUGGACUGUAAACUUUGUAGCAGGUCUAGAAAUAUCUGGAAACCCUCGAUAGAUCGACAAAAGGGUAAACUUGUGAACUCUUUUUAUCCCACAGGGAUAGACGGUAAAGUUCCUGAGAAACUGUAAACAAUAAUAAUGGCGUCACGUGGAAUUGGCGAUCCAGCAGAGUUCUGAGCGUUAACAGUUUUCCGGACAUCUCUAUCUUCUCAAACAGACUUCCUCAGCUGAACAGGUGAGUGAAUCCUGCCCGAUAAAUGCCGCCCUGUAAUGACUAAAACACACACACACAUCCUUGACUUUCAUCUUCAGCUUCAUCUUCAAUUAAUUUCUUGAAAUUUGAUUUCAUAUGUCAGCUGAAUUAAAGAAAGAGAGUAAAUAAAUCCCGGGACACACUUAAGUGCAGGCGCCUGAGGACUCUGAGUGCGUAUGAAAAGACGCUAUAAAUAUCUGGCAUGAAUUAUCAUUAGUGAGGAACUUUGCAAUGCAGUGAUAAAUGCAAAUUAGCUUUCCCGUUUUCAUCAAAAGAUAUGUAUGCAUGGGCUCCACGCCGCCUGGAGAGACUUAGCUGCUGUUAAUAUUUGAUUGAGCUGGUUUUCGGCUUUGAUUCUCGCUGCACAGGUGACGUGAGGUUACCUGUGAAAAAUGAUAAACUGUUUUUUAACUUUAGUGUUCAUGCAGAUCUUCAGUCCUCAUACUCUGCAGCUCUCUCUCUUUGUUUGACCCGUUGUGCAGCAGAUGACUGUUUACCGUUUAAUCUGAUUGAUCAAUCUUUAUUUAUACAACGUCAAGUCACGGUUCAAGUGUUUUCACGAAAAAGGUAAAAAGGUCUAGACUCUUUUUAUAAAGACCCACUAUAAAGAAGGGUCAAGAUUGUAUGACGGAGUAUUAGGGCCACAUGAAGAAAAAAAAAUGAAGACUAAGAGAUUCAAGUCGUUCAUUUAUGGGAAUAAAGUCAUUACUAACGAGAAUAAAGUCGUAAUAAAAUCAUUAUGAUUCUUCUGAUAAUGUGAUGCUGAUGUGCCAAAAGAUCAAGUUUCUCCUUGUUUGAGAAAUUUAUAUUGAAGUUCAUUUUCACAAAAUACUCUAUGGCUCUAAUUUUGACAACUGUCAUCUUAAACAACAGGUCCGAAUAUGAGGACUUUUUUCUUGUAAGUAAUAAUUUUAAUGCAACAUUAUUCUUGUAAUAACUUUAUUAUGACUUUACUCUCAAAGGUAAUGAUUUUAAUACGACUUUAUUCUUGUAAUUACUUUAUAACGACUUUUUUUUAACUCAAAAUUUUGACUUUAAUCUCGAAAUUUUGAUUUUAAUUUCAAAAUGAAAAUUAAAAAAAUCUCCCUCCUGUAAUUAUUUUGUUUUCUUCUUGUGGCCCUAAUCCUCUUUCAUAAGAUUGAGACCCACUUCCUGAAACUCUUAACAGCGUUUAUAAGUCACAGAGGAGAGGAAGAACUUCCUUUAACAGGCAGAAACCUGGAGGAGGACCAGACUGAUGUUAGACCGUCAUCUGAGAAACUAAAGUAUACGAGCAGAUUAGAGUUUGGUGAGGAAAAGAAACAUUAAUAAUAAUAAUAAUAAUAAUAAUUUUAUUUAUAUAGCACCUUUAAAAACAGAAGUUUACAAAGUGCUUAGACAACAGUUGUAAGCACAGAGCAUCAGCACAUUGAAAAUAAAAACACAUAAAAACAAAAGCUCAGUUAAAAAACAGGCAUCUGAAUUGUAGGCCUGUUUCACUUUUCGUAAGAAACCCAGGCAAUACAAGAACCCUACAAAAUUAAGGUUAGAUUUACGUUGAGAUGACUGGUUUAUGUUGCUAUAAUUCAAAUAGGGUUAGUGUUGGAGCUCGUGGUGACCAUUAGUUUAUAAAAUACAGUCAGAAAGUCGAUUUCACAUCCUGAUCUUACAGUUUAGUUUGUUUUAAGCCUCUGAAAAGUUGAGUAAGAGUCAAAUCUGAUUUCUCAUUUCUUUGUUUUCCAAAUAAUCCGUCCAAACAUCCAAAUCUAUCAAAGUUAAAUAUCUCUGACAUGGAGUGUUUGUGAUUUCUGUCACAGUGAAUCAGCUCACCUGUCAGCUGAGUGUUUCCAGGUUCUCUCGACUCUUUGGUUCGUUGGCGCUCAGUUAAGUUUCUAUCUGCUGUUUUAAUUUACACCAGAGUGCAUGAUGGGAUAUUGUUUGGUAUGUCUUGAGUGUUGGCGUGGAAAAAGAGCAGAAUUACUGACCUUUCUGGGGGAUUUGACGGAUAAUGCAGAGCGUAAUGAUCUUCAUUUUGGAUUUCCAGAAAAUAAUAAAGCAGAAAAUGGUUUUCUUUUUGUAUCGGAGGAGAUAAUGGAGGCGAAUGACGUUUGAAUUUCACAUUAAUGUGCCGAGUGUUACCUCGGGCGCACCAUUUAACAGACAAAUCGAAAGGCCUACAAAAGCAAGGUUUAUGAGAGAGAUUUAAGGUGAACCUAAUAAACAAAAAACUCUGCAAGCCAUUACAUGAGCCAUUUACAAAAGGGCUGUUAUCACAGGGAGGGAGGCCCGGGUCACGUUAAACAAUCAAUAAUCGGGCUAAUAAAUGAAAGCGCUGAGAAUACGACCAAUAUGAGCGUCUGAUGUUCCUCCGAAGAGAAGAAAAGUGAUAAGAAAUCUGAGACGUAGGAGUGAGAUGGUUGGGAUGAACAUGAGAGAGAGAGAAAUUGAAUAAAAUACCUCACAGAUAAGCGGCUCUGGGCUCCUGUAUUCAGACAGUUUUAUCCCGUUUCUCUGCUUGAUGAGGGAUUAGAUUAAUAGUCAGAUCCAUACGUCCCAACCCGGACUGUUAAUCCCUAAUUUAUAUUGAGGUUUGCGCACCGAAGGGUUCCCCCUGCUUGGUCACGAGAUAAUCUGCGAAGAUAAUGAAUUAAACCAAAUCUCAUGAGUCUUAUUGCUGCUGCUGCAGAAAAUGAAACUUUUACUGAUAUUUUAAUAUAAAAAUGUCGAGUUUGUGCACGUGUGGAGCUUUAAAAGGCCUUGAAAGGUCAUUUUGGGAUUGUUGAGGCAGAUUUAACGAUAUCUACAUCAUUCCCCUAAAACAAAAUGCUCAUAUUUAACAAACACACUCCAUCUGUCGGGUCUCAGAUGUUUAGAGCGACGGCUCCGGGUCCAAGACUUCAGGCACUGAAACACUUUGCAGAAGUUUAUGAUCACUUUGUAUCCUGGAUGUAAAAUUUGAUGUUUUUUUUCUCCAUUCGUUUAUUUUUUAUUCUUUUCCUCCUUUGUCGAGUCACUCUGAAUUUUGCAUCCCACGACAUUUUCAAAGAUGAAGCCUCAGAGCACGAGCGUGAUGUUUAAUUCUUCUUUUUCACCAAUUUUUUAUUCCUACGCUCAGGAAAGCUUUCUCCAAUCUUCCCACCAGAGGACCCAGCGUGUCAUUUAGCCGAGAAAGUAAUCUUCUGUCUCUGAAAAACUUUUGAAUAUUUAUCUCCAGAGUGACAUCUUUAUUACAGUGUACAGAAGAAAUGUGCACAAAGGAAAAUCUGAAUAGAAAAAGCUUUAUUUGUCUGUCUUUGUCUGAGUGAAUCACAGAGAAAUGAGCGACUUCAGCUUCUCUCUAAAUACUGAGGGGAUGCCACAGGGAAGCGUGUUGGGUCCCCUCGUCUUUUUUAGAUACGAACAUAUAUUCUUUUUAUUUGAAUGAGUAAAAGGAUUUUUGAUAGUAAAAUGCUCUAAAAACUAGACUCUAAUAAUGGUACCAAGAAGCAAAAUAUCUGCCUUUGAAUCUUUGUAAUAUUUUCACUUUGUUUGGUUUUUAAAAUCUCCAAAACAAGCUGAAUAAACAAAGUUAAUUUCUUUUUACACAUUAUUUAUAAUUCUUUCGUGGAAUUCUUUACCAAUUUUGUAACCCAUGACUAUCAAUGGCUCUCUUUUCAAUUAAUCACUAAACAGUAACAGUUUUAUAUUUGAUGUUACAUGAUGGUACAAUGUUACAGAUUACACCAAAACGACGUCAAUCGAUUGGCUGACUGAUGAAUCAAUCUUUCUCUGUUUUCUUAUUUCACGUUUUUUUUCUCUUUUGUUCCAAGCGCAUGUUUGAAAUCCGUGAAAAUAACAUAAAAAGAAUGACUUACUGUUUCUUUAAAUAAUCGUUAACCUCCUCAUUAACACUGACUGUAUCUGUUUUACUGUUGGUGCAUCUGACUUCUGAUAAUUAACAAAGAUACAAUCAUCAUUUGACUUUGCUCGGUGUAGCUCCACCAUUAUUAACUCAUUAACAGCACCAGUACCAGACAUUAACAGUGUAAUUAAUAUUGAGUAAUUGUGAGGCAUUGUUUUUGCAUGAAUGAGUGAUAGUUGUAUUUAUGAUUAUCUUAAUGUUGGCUUCUGAUGAUGAGGGAAAAAUCGUUAAAUUAUUUAACUUUAGCUGAAAGUUCCCAAAGAUCCUAAAGAGGUUCUGAAAUUACGGAAGACAAUUAGGGCCACUGGAAAAUAAAAAAAAAGAGGUCAGAUAUAAUUUUUAAAUUAUCAUUCUGAGAUUAAAGUCAGAAUUCUGGCUUUUUUUUUCUCAGAAUAAUAAUUUAAAAAAAUUAUAUCAGGCCUUUUAUUUCCCCCAGCAGCUCUAAUCUAUGGAUGUGUAUUGCAUUUACCAAAAAAAAGAAAAAAAGCUUUGUUUUUCAGGGUAAUUUCUUUCUGUUCUUUUCUUGGUACUAAUUUUUUCUGCUUUUCAGAGAAUUUUUGAUCUUUUCUGUGUUUCCGACUGCGGGGGGUUUGUUUUGUUUUUCAGACAAAUUAUUUUUCCUAUUUUCAUUUAAAAACAGACGCUUUUAUCCCCUUCUGCUCGAUUUAUUAGAAACAAACACGGCCCACUUUUUUAGUUUAAUCAAGUUUUACUUUAUUUUGGGUUUGAGACACUGAGAGAUACAUCUUUCUUUUUCUUUAUGAGAUUCUCUCAGGAUUUUGAUGAUCUCGCUUAGUCAGGGGAAAAAUAAUAGUCCAAAAAACAGAAAGACAAAAAAAUAGUACAAAAAACAGAAUAAAAAUUUGUCUGAAAAACAGAAAGAGGGGGAAAAAUAUAUUAGUACAAAAACUGAAGAAACAAAAUAGUCAGAGAAAUAGAAGAAAAAAAUCUGUUAGAAAAACAUCGAAGAAAAAAGUUACUCAAAAAAAUAGUUUACUUUUUUUUUGUAAGUGAAUGCAUUACGCUUCCUUACUAAUCCUCUUCUCUAUAAAACAGUUAAUUCAUGUAUUUUUUUGCUGCAGGGACUUUGUGUCAAACAGACAUCGAAACAUCGGGUCAUUUGGUUAAAGUGACGAACAUUUGAGUUUUUAUUUUACAUCAGUUUAGAUUGAGAAAAGUGGACACAAUCUCAGGUUUUCAAUUUUAUCUGAAGUGUAAAUGACAAAUUCCAUCUUCGCCUUAAGGUAAAAAUAAACACAGUCUGGAACAUGAGGCCGUCUGAGCAGAAUCUGAGUGUAUAAACGAGGCCAAAACGACAUUAAAUUUGCAUCAUCGGCUUUGGGUUUGGAAAUCAUUGAAAAGUUCAUUUACAUGUAGUCGGAGGGAAAAUCAAUUUCACAUGCUGAUUCUGUUGAUCCUCCUUUUGUGGAUACAAAUAUCCAUCAACAGAGAGGCAGGCAAAUCAUGCCCUCGAGACACGGCUGUGCUUAGCAAGCAGCUAAAAGAGUGAGAGGGUCUGCAGAGAGAAACCCACACAGUCCUCAGAAAGAACACCGUGUCACACACACGCACACACAAACACACACACACACACACACACACACACACACACACACACACACACACACACACACACACACACACUCUUUUCAGUCUGAGUGUUCCUGCAUUUGAAUGAAGCACCAAUUUAAGAAGCACUGCAGGAGCUUCUCUGACAUAACCUCCCCCAACAAAAACACCAACAACUAUAAAGAAACUCAAGGAUGUUUUAUUUGUCCGGAUUCGCCUCGUAAGUCGUAUUUUUUCAGAUCUGGAUUGUGGGAAUGAAUGCCUGCUUGGAAAAUAAAAUCACAGUCUGUCCGAUUUUUGAACAUCUAAAAGGCCACGAGGAUCUAAAAGAGGAAAUCCACAUUUUUGCAGUGCUGGAGAAAGAGCGGUGGAGCAUUUUAAAGUGCAUUUAUGUUAAAUCUGACUUACCAAAUGAGCUGCUGUGAGAAUUUCCCUCUGAAGAGAUCUGCAGCAGAUAAAAAGAGCCGGCCCAGAGUGCCUGUGAUCAGAGAGGAGGACGCAGAUCGAGCGAAGAGCAUCAGAUAAAGACGCCUCCAUUGAGGAACCGCAUGGAACGUUUCCAAACAGACAGUAAGAUUGGUUUCCAAUUCCUCCCAUCAGACAAAUUGAGCCCGGUGGCCAAUUAUUCCCACCGCCAAUUAACCUUGCAACCGGCUCCCUCUCAGCCCCUGCGUGAGUCAGCCUGCCAAAUUUGCUUUUGCCUGUCACGUCAGCAUCGCUGAUGAAAACAGACAGGGAGAUUCUUCAGUGCUGCAUAAACAGAGCCGAAUAUCAUUGUAGGAAUCCAUACCAGCUCCUGCAGGAGACACAAACGGCAGCAUCGCAGGGACGCUGAACAGGCUGAAAACAUGCUAAGUGGACUCUGUUUAGAGAAACCUUUGAGGCAGCUGAAGACGGGAAAUCUUUAAAAAGAUGUAUAACCUAUAGAUACCCUAAUCCCCGGCUAAUCAAUUAAGAGACCUUCAACCAAUUCAGGCCUGAAGGCGAUCUUUGAGUGGUCCCAACCUGACCAGCAUCAUGAACCCAACAUGUAAUUAAACAGAAGAUAUCGUUGAAAGAGUGACCCCCAGUUUCCACCGCAUCCAGAACGGCUAUGAAAAGGUCGUAUCCUCCGAUCGUAGCUGGAAAGGACAACUGGACUUACUUGUAGUCCAAGUAAGUCCAGUUGUCCUUUCAACAAAGAACUGUAAAUCAUAGAUGCUUCAUCCUCAGUUUUAAACAACAUCUCAAGGUUUACCCCCAAUCUCCACCUUCAUCCUGAACGUCUACUAAAAGGUUGUAUCCUCCGAUCGUAGCUGAUCGUAACCAUCCAAGUUAACGUGUCAAUUUCC